CUUAUCAUGAGAAGUGGAGGGACAGGCCCUAUGAAACUUCAGCAACCGGUUUUAACACGGUGCUAAAUCCUACAGAGAUAUCUGAAAGAUAAGA
This 94-nucleotide non-coding RNA is filed under the name uncultured Cetobacterium sp. RNAcentral's name for it is "SAM riboswitch (S box leader)". It matches the Rfam family "SAM riboswitch aptamer (S box leader)". From Rfam's summary of the family: The SAM riboswitch is found upstream of a number of genes which code for proteins involved in methionine or cysteine biosynthesis in Gram-positive bacteria. The SAM riboswitch acts at the level of transcription termination control. The record is from RNAcentral. Lineage: Bacteria; Fusobacteriati; Fusobacteriota; Fusobacteriia; Fusobacteriales; Fusobacteriaceae.